AUGCUCGGCAUCUCCAGUCCUAAUGCUGAAUUUACCAGCGUUGGUGUCUGGGCUAUGCACAACUACGAAAGCAAGGUCUGGGCAUUCAAAUACCGGGUGGAACUGCCAGUUGCGGAGCUCACCGUGCAGUUUGGAGUGUUUAAACCAUAUCGUUGUUGGGUGCCCAUUUCUUGGGAUGGUGAUGUGAUCAUGCUGCUCCAGUUUGGUGACUGGCUACUUCAGCUUGACAUGGAUGGCAAGGUGGUUGCUAGUUUGCGCCGUCAAAAUGGCCUCUUUCCUACUCAAGAUCGGCUCAAGCAAACUCUUGUUCAGCAUUCCUUCUUUCCGACACUAGGGGGUUAUGUUGUCAAUGCUCCACCUUUCAUCUGA
This 369-nucleotide ribosomal RNA is filed under the name Triticum aestivum (bread wheat). RNAcentral describes it as "partial small subunit ribosomal RNA". Lineage: Eukaryota; Viridiplantae; Streptophyta; Magnoliopsida; Poales; Poaceae. The record is from RNAcentral.